Molecule: long non-coding RNA, 271 nt
Filed under: Populus trichocarpa (black cottonwood)
Lineage: Eukaryota; Viridiplantae; Streptophyta; Magnoliopsida; Malpighiales; Salicaceae
Description: long non-coding RNA (PTRI_LNC001468)
Source: RNAcentral
UUGAAGAUGUUUCUGGUGCUGAGAGGAGUAAAGAAAGCAAAAAUAUUUUUUUUCAAGGACUCAAAUGGCGACAUUUUUCCAUUUGGUUGCUGUACCUUUGUAUACUGGGUUUAAUGCUGUUUUGUGACUUCUUUAUGUACUGAUUGAAGAGUCUUUGUAAUAAAAUGUUAUAUUGUGUCAUAUGAAGGUUUCUGUAAUAACAGGUGCUUUACAAUAAAAAUCCCUGCUGUGUUCUCUAUAGAUUUCCAAGGGAUAAGUAGAUUUCCUAUGC